This is a long non-coding RNA of Micropterus dolomieu (smallmouth bass), 1127 nucleotides long. RefSeq lists it as uncharacterized. The transcript has 3 exons. The record is from RefSeq and is a predicted model, not a curated record. Lineage: Eukaryota; Metazoa; Chordata; Actinopteri; Centrarchiformes; Centrarchidae.
UCAGGUUGGCUGGAUAAACUCAGAAUCCAGCUGCUAUGCGAUUUAUAACGCUGAUGUUUCUGGUCAGAAAACCUGGGAAGAAGCUCGAGAAGAUUGCAGAGGAAAGAUUUCAGAUCUGGUUGUUAAAUUUGAUCAAACGGAGAAGAAAUGCAGCUCCAAACUUGCAAGGAUCCUCCACCAUGCUUCACAGGCCGCUUCUGACCAGACUUCUCCAGACAGUAGAUGGGAGUACCAGGAUCAAACUAUUUUCUUCAGCUCUGAACUGAUGGCACAGCUGGACUUCUUCCAAUUGUGAAGUGACGGAAGCACGGUGUAUCUUUUAUCUGCUGCAGUAAGUUUCCUUGGCAGACCAGUGCGUCUAUGGUCCUCAAUGUUGCCUGUUUCUUUGUGCUUUUUCAAAAGAGCCUGGACACACAUCUGCAAACCCCUGUCUGUAUGGAAAUUUCUGCCCUUGUUGAUGCAGUAUAACUGUCUUGUUCCUGUGUCUUGCCAUAUUAUAUGACAUUUUACAGUAAACUGUCUUCAGCAUCCUCACCUUGUUAGCUGAAUUUGGCUGUUCCUCAUCCUGCACAGCUGUUUCUGUUAAUAAUUGUGUUUCCACCUACAUAUUGAGUUGGUGAUCAUUAGCACCUGUUUAGUGUAAUUGUUCAAUCAUACACCUGACUAUGCCUAUAAAAGCCCUGACGAGAAGGCAAAAGGUUGUCACACCAAAUGUGAGUUGGAACACAGGUCAGUUGGAACACGUCCAAUUUCUUCAAUCAGGAAGUUAUGAAUUACCUGAUCUCUGCACAUGCUUAGUUUAGUUAUUAUUCCACAUGGGGAAAAGUAGCACUCUGUGGCAGCACAGCCAGUAUUAGAAGGAAAAAAGGUAUUUUCAGUUAUGAAAGUAUCAUUUGUUUUUGUUAUAGCAUUGCCUCCUUUGUAGUUAGACUUUCCAAACUUAAAUCAUGUUUCUUGUAAAAAUGUAAAUAUAUUUCACAUACAGAAAUACAAAUGUCACACAGUUUCAUUUACGUUGUACCACUGCAACUCAGAAAAAGGAAGUAAUGAAUAGGAUAGAAACCACCAAAACAGGGCGUCCCGGAGGUCUAGAAGCUGUUUUUGUAUUGAAAAAAACAAAAAAAACU